Molecule: transfer RNA, 79 nt
Filed under: Methanothrix harundinacea 6Ac
Lineage: Archaea; Methanobacteriati; Methanobacteriota; Methanomicrobia; Methanotrichales; Methanotrichaceae
Description: Methanosaeta harundinacea 6Ac tRNA-Arg
Rfam family: tRNA
About the family: Transfer RNA (tRNA) molecules are approximately 80 nucleotides in length. Their secondary structure includes four short double-helical elements and three loops (D, anti-codon, and T loops).
Source: RNAcentral
GGGCCCGUGGCUUAGCCAGGAUAUAGCACCGGGCUUCUAACCCGGGGGUCGUGGGUUCGAAUCCCACCGGGUCCGCCUG